This 271-nucleotide ribosomal RNA is filed under the name uncultured eukaryote. Its description in RNAcentral is "partial small subunit ribosomal RNA". It matches the Rfam family "Eukaryotic small subunit ribosomal RNA", at positions 1161 to 1452 of the family's 1831-position model. The record is from RNAcentral.
AGGUCACCACCAGGAGUGGAGCCUGCAACUUAAUUUGACUCAACACGGGGAAACUUACCAGGUCCAAAUUAGUAAGGAUUGACAGACUGAGAGCUCUUUCUUGAUUUUAUGGGUGGUGGUGCAUGGUCGUUCUUAGAUGGUGGAGCGAUUUGUCUUUUUAAUUCCGUUAACGAACGAGACAUUAGCAUGAUAACUAGCCAUGUAGGGGAUUCCCUCCGCAGCCAGCUUCUUAGAGGGAUUAUGGUCGUUUAGGCCACGGUAGUUUGAGGCA